Non-coding RNA from Paramuricea clavata, 306 nucleotides. The record is from the annotation of a GenBank genome assembly. NCBI's taxonomy places the organism in Eukaryota, Metazoa, Cnidaria, Anthozoa, Malacalcyonacea, Plexauridae.
GGAGAUGGCUGUGAAACUCAUUAGAAUGACAAUAUAACUCAUUAUCUGUGUUAGUCAACGUCUAUUCAUAAAUCUGGUCCUUCACCGUCACGUGUGUAUUGUAUUGUUGCCCAACUAACCAAUAGCAAUGUUUUAGGAAAGUUACCUAUCCGUGACUCGAACAAUAGGGAAAUUGGAAAUUGCUAUUGGUGGAUUUGGCAAAAAUACACGACACACAUGACAGAUUUAUGAAUAACUGACGUUGACUAACCGAGUAACAUAGGUAAUGAGUUUAUUGUUAUUCUAAUGAGUUUCACGGCCAUCUUC